This 445-nucleotide ribosomal RNA is filed under the name uncultured bacterium. RNAcentral's name for it is "partial 16S ribosomal RNA". It matches the Rfam family "Bacterial small subunit ribosomal RNA", at positions 354 to 796 of the family's 1533-position model. The record is from RNAcentral.
GUGAGGAAUAUUGGUCAAUGGGCGGGAGCCUGAACCAGCCAAGUCGCGUGAAGGAAGAAGGAUCUAUGGUUCGUAAACUUCUUUUGCAGGGGAAUAAAGUGCAGGACGUGUCCUGUUUUGUAUGUACCCUGAGAAUAAGGAUCGGCUAACUCCGUGCCAGCAGCCGCGGUAAUACGGAGGAUCCGAGCGUUAUCCGGAGUUAUUGGGUUUAAAGGGUGCGUAGGUGGUUUGAUAAGUCAGCGGUGAAAGUUUGCAGCUUAACUGUAAAAAUGCCGUUGAAACUGUCGGACUUGAGUGUAAAUGAGGUAGGCGGAAUGCGUGGUGUAGCGGUGAAAUGCAUAGAUAUCACGCAGAACUCCGAUUGCGAAGGCAGCUUACUAAGCUACAACUGACACUGAAGCACGAAAGCGUGGGGAUCAAACAGGAUUAGAAACCCGAGUAGUCC